Molecule: ribosomal RNA, 624 nt
Filed under: Iodosphaeria foliicola
Lineage: Eukaryota; Fungi; Ascomycota; Sordariomycetes; Amphisphaeriales; Iodosphaeriaceae
Description: partial large subunit ribosomal RNA
Rfam family: Eukaryotic large subunit ribosomal RNA
Source: RNAcentral
GAUCCCGCUGAACUUAAGCAUAUCAAUAAGCGGAGGAAAAGAAACCAACAGGGAUUGCCCCAGUAACGGCGAGUGAAGCGGCAACAGCUCAAAUUUGAAAUCUGGCCCUCGGGUCCGAGUUGUAAUUUGUAGAGGAUGCUUCCGGCGACGCGCCUUCCGAGUUCCCUGGAACGGGACGCCUGAGAGGGUGAGAGCCCCGUACGGUCGGACGCCUAGCCUGUGUGAAGCUCCUUCGACGAGUCGAGUAGUUUGGGAAUGCUGCUCUAAAUGGGAGGUAAAUUUCUUCUAAAGCUAAAUACCGGCCAGAGACCGAUAGCGCACAAGUAGAGUGAUCGAAAGAUGAAAAGCACUUUGAAAAGAGGGUUAAACAGUACGUGAAAUUGUUGAAAGGGAAGCGUUUGCGACCAGACUUUUCCCCGGCGGAUCAUCCGGCGUUCUCGCCGGUGCACUCCGCCGGGCUAAGGCCAGCAUCGGCUCCCGCGGGGGGACAAAGGCGCCGGGAAUGUGGCUCGCCUCGGCGAGUGUUAUAGCCCGGUGCGUAAUGCCCCCGCUGGGGGCCGAGGUACGCGCUCCGCAAGGAUGCUGGCGUAAUGGUCGUCAACGACCCGUCUUGAAACACGGACC